AGACGGGGGGGGCGAGCGUUGUUCGGAAUUACUGGGCGUAAAGGGCGCGCAGGCGGCCUGGGAAGUCUUGGGUGAAAGCCCCCGGCUCAACCGGGGAAUGGCCUGAGAAACCACUAGGCUGGAGUGCUGGAGAGGGAAGCGGAAUUCCCGGUGGAGCGGUGAAAUGCGUAGAUAUCGGGAGGAACACCAGAGGCGAAGGCGGCUUCCUGGACAGACACUGACGCUGAGGCGCGAAAGCUAGGGGAGCAAACGGGAUUAGAAACCCCGGUAGUCC
RNAcentral lists this ribosomal RNA (274 nucleotides) under uncultured bacterium. RNAcentral's name for it is "partial 16S ribosomal RNA". It matches the Rfam family "Bacterial small subunit ribosomal RNA", at positions 523 to 796 of the family's 1533-position model. The record is from RNAcentral.